CCUACGGGUGGCUGCAGUGGGGAAUUUUCCGCAAUGGGCGAAAGCCUGACGGAGCGACGCCGCGUGGGUGAAGAAGUCUUUCGGGAUGUAAAGCCCUGUCAGUAGGGAUGAAAAAAAUGACAGUACCUACAGAGGAAGCAUCGGCUAACUACGUGCCAGCAGCCGCGGUAAUACGUAGGAUGCAAGCGUUGUUCGGAAUUACUGGGCGUAAAGAGUACGUAGGCGGCAUAUCAAGUCUGAUAUUAAAGACCGGGGCUUAACCUCGGGAAUGUAUC
RNAcentral lists this ribosomal RNA (275 nucleotides) under uncultured bacterium. Its description in RNAcentral is "partial 16S ribosomal RNA". It matches the Rfam family "Bacterial small subunit ribosomal RNA", at positions 338 to 627 of the family's 1533-position model. The record is from RNAcentral.